Molecule: ribosomal RNA, 493 nt
Filed under: uncultured bacterium
Lineage: Bacteria
Description: partial 16S ribosomal RNA
Rfam family: Bacterial small subunit ribosomal RNA
Source: RNAcentral
GACGAACGCUGGCGGCGUGCUUAACACAUGCAAGUCGAACGGAAAGGCCUGCUUUCCCUUGUGGAUUGCGGGUACUCGAGUGGCGAACGGGUGAGUAACACGUGAGUGAUCUGCCCCCAACUUGGGUAUAAGCCUGGGAAACUGGGUCUAAUUCCCGAUAGGACUGCAGGGUGGUGCCUGUGGUGGAAAACGAUUUUCUAGUGGUUGGGGAUGAGCUCGCGGCCUAUCAGCUUGUUGGUGGGGUAAUGGCCUACCAAGGCGGCGACGGGUAGCCGGCCUGAGAGGGUGGACGGCCACAUUGGGACUGAGAUACGGCCCAGACUCCUACGGGAGGCAGCAGUGGGGAAUAUUGCACAAUGGGCGGAAGCCUGAUGCAGCGACGCCGCGUGGGGGAUGACGGCCUUCGGGUUGCAAACUCCUUUCGACCGCGAGGAAGCCACCUGGUUGGAGGGUGGUGACGGUAGUGGUAGAAGAAGCACCGGCUAACUACGUG